UUUUGCGGGAAGAGGAGCUGCUCUACCUGCAGUGCUGCUUUUCUUGCCUAGACUCUAGGAAAUAUCCGAGCUCCACUCCCCACAACAUACUCAAAGGAACGGAGAGAACUGGGACCCCCCUGCGGGGACCCGGAACUGAUCUGACAGGAUGGCAUCUGAUGACUUUGAUAUAGUGAUUGAGGCCAUGCUGGAAGCUCCCUAUAAAAAAGAAGAGGAAGAAGAGGAGUCGGACCCAUAGUAAAAGCAGGGAUAGAAAGCACAGUCGUAGUCGAGAUCGGGAUCGGUAUAGACGGAGAAAUAGUCGGAGCCGAAGUCGAGGUCGGCAGCGUCGUCACCGUAGCCGUAGCUGGGAUCGUCGACAUAGUAGUGAGUCGCGAAGUCGAGACCGUCGUCGUGAGGAUUGUGUGCGUUACAGGAGUCCUCCACUUGCCUCUGGGGAGCCAGUUGAUAAUCUGAGUCCUGAGGAGCGUGAUGCCCGCACAGUUUUCUGUAUGCAGUUAGCUGCCCGAAUUCGGCCUCGAGAUCUGGAGGACUUUUUCUCUGCUGUAGGCAAGGU
This 556-nucleotide small RNA is filed under the name Pongo abelii (Sumatran orangutan). RNAcentral's name for it is "processed transcript". The record is from RNAcentral. Lineage: Eukaryota; Metazoa; Chordata; Mammalia; Primates; Hominidae.